AACGUAGGGGACAAGCGUUAUCCGGAUUUACUGGGCGUAAAGCGCCCGUAGGCGGCUUUUUAAGUUGGACGUGAAAGCUCCCGGCUUAACUGGGAGAGGCCGUUCAAAACUGGAAAGCUGGAGUGAGGAAGAGGAGAGCAGAAUUCCCGGUGUAGUGGUGGAAUGCGUAGAGAUCGGGAGGAAUGCCAGUGGCGAAAGCGGCUCUCUGGUCCUAAACUGACGCUGAGGGGCGAAAGCGUGGGGAGCGAACGGG
Molecule: ribosomal RNA, 253 nt
Filed under: uncultured bacterium
Lineage: Bacteria
Description: partial 16S ribosomal RNA
Rfam family: Bacterial small subunit ribosomal RNA
Source: RNAcentral